CAUGCAAGUCGAACGGUAACAGGAGAGAGCUUGCUCUCUUGCUGACGAGUGGCGGACGGGUGAGUAAUACAUGGGAAUCUGCCCUGAGGUGGGGGAUAACCCGGGGAAACUCGGGCUAAUACCGCAUGAUCUCUUCGGAGCAAAGUGGGGGACCUUCGGGCCUCACGCCUUGGGAUGAGCCCAUGUCUGAUUAGCUAGUUGGUGGGGUAAAGGCCUACCAAGGCAACGAUCAGUAGCCGGCCUGAGAGGGUGUACGGCCACACUGGGACUGAGACACGGCCCAGACUCCUACGGGAGGCAGCAGUGGGGAAUAUUGGACAAUGGGGGCAACCCUGAUCCAGCAAUGCCGCGUGUGUGAAGAAGGCCUGCGGGUUGUAAAGCACUUUUAUCGGGGAAGAAUAGGUUGUCGUUAAUAGCGCCAACACUUGACAUUACCCGUUGAAUAAGCACCGGCUAACUCCGUGCCAGCANCCGCGGUAAUACGAGGGUGCGAGCGUUAAUCNGAAUUACCGGGCGUNNAAAGGGU
Molecule: ribosomal RNA, 526 nt
Filed under: uncultured bacterium
Lineage: Bacteria
Description: bacterial SSU rRNA
Rfam family: Bacterial small subunit ribosomal RNA
Source: RNAcentral